CCUACGGGAGGCAGCAGUGAGGAAUAUUGGUCAAUGGGCGAGAGCCUGAACCAGCCAAGUCGCGUGAAGGAUGACGGCCCUACGGGUUGUAAACUUCUUUUGUCAGGGAGCAAUUGGGUCCACGCGUGGGCUUAGCGAGAGUACCUGAAGAAAAAGCAUCGGCUAACUCCGUGCCAGCAGCCGCGGUAAUACGGAGGAUGCGAGCGUUAUCCGGAUUUAUUGGGUUUAAAGGGUGCGUAGGCGGAAUAUCAAGUCAGCGGUAAAAAUUCGGGGCACAACCCCGUCGUGCCGUUGAAACUGAUGGUCUUGAGUGGGCGAGAAGUAUGCGGAAUGCGUGGUGUAGCGGUGAAAUGCAUAGAUAUCACGCAGAACUCCGAUUGCGAAGGCAGCAUACCGGCGCCCAACUGACGCUGAGGCACGAAAGCGUGGGGAGCAAACAGGAUUAGAUACCCUUGUAGUC
Molecule: ribosomal RNA, 460 nt
Filed under: uncultured bacterium
Lineage: Bacteria
Description: partial 16S ribosomal RNA
Rfam family: Bacterial small subunit ribosomal RNA
Source: RNAcentral